AAUUGCACGUUAGUGCAAUAUGGAGGAUUAGCUCAGCUGGGAGAGCAUCUGCCUUACAAGCAGAGGGUCGGCGGUUCGAGCCCGUCAUCCUCCACCAUUUUUCAUUAUACAUAUCGGUUUUACAUAUAUGCCGGUGUAGCUCAAUUGGUAGAGCAACUGACUUGUAAUCAGUAGGUUGGGGGUUCAAGUCCUCUUGCCGGCACCACUUUUAUAUGAUAUAAUAUUCAAGUCUAUUGUAAGAAGAGCCAUUAGCUCAGUUGGUAGAGCAUCUGACUUUUAAUCAGAGGGUCGAAGGUUCGAGUCCUUCAUGGCUCACCAUUUACAUGUUGCGGAUGUGGCGGAAUUGGCAGACGCGCUAGAAUCAGGCUCUAGUGUCUUUACAGACGUGGGGGUUCAAGUCCCUUCAUCCGCACCAUUUCUGCGGAAGUAGUUCAGUGGUAGAACACCACCUUGCCAAGGUGGGGGUCGCGGGUUCGAAUCCCGUCUUCCGCUCCAACUAUACCAUCCACGCCGGGGUGGUGGAAUUGGCAGACACACAGGACUUAAAAUCCUGCGGUAGGUGACUACCGUGCCGGUUCAAGUCCGGCCCUCGGCAUUAAGUUUUGCGCCCGUAGCUCAAUUGGAUAGAGCGUUUGACUACGGAUCAAAAGGUUAGGGGUUCGACUCCUCUCGG
This 673-nucleotide transfer RNA is filed under the name Bacillus subtilis. The stretch from base 243 to 315 matches the Rfam family "tRNA". Lineage: Bacteria; Bacillati; Bacillota; Bacilli; Caryophanales; Bacillaceae. The record is from RNAcentral.